This 76-nucleotide small RNA is filed under the name Salmonella enterica subsp. enterica serovar Heidelberg. RNAcentral's name for it is "partial RtT sRNA". It matches the Rfam family "RtT RNA", at positions 56 to 130 of the family's 130-position model. Rfam says of the family: This family represents a bacterial cis-regulatory element known as RtT RNA. The exact function of RtT is unknown although it is thought that it may be involved in changing the cellular response in relation to amino acid starvation. Lineage: Bacteria; Pseudomonadati; Pseudomonadota; Gammaproteobacteria; Enterobacterales; Enterobacteriaceae. The record is from RNAcentral. RNAcentral also lists the same sequence under 9 other names.
AGCGAGAAAGCGUUGCCGUAGGCAACGACCCGAAGGGCGAAGCGCGCAGCGCUGAGUAAUCCUUCCCCCGUCAUCC